This is a long non-coding RNA of Pan troglodytes (chimpanzee), 2773 nucleotides long. RefSeq lists it as uncharacterized. The record is from RefSeq and is a predicted model, not a curated record. The transcript is spliced from 7 exons. Lineage: Eukaryota; Metazoa; Chordata; Mammalia; Primates; Hominidae.
UACCAAAGUUCUAAUGGUGUUUACCUGAAAUGUUUCUAUCAUUCCCAAACUUUCAGGGUUUCUGUUGGUGAUUGGCGAGGAACAGAUUGCACUUUCCUGAACUGAAAUCUAAUGAAUGCCACAAAGUGAAAAUAAACUGGAGACACUUGAAAAAAGAAAAAGAAAAGAAAACUCACUUCAAGAACCCGAAGCUUUCCUACCCCUCUUCUUUUCCCCUCACUUGCAGCCAGCUAAGCUCCCCACACAUUCUGAUCGUCUCCCUGCACAGUGUCUGUGGUGGUGACAACUGAUUCAUGUGUUCAUUUGCAUAUCCCCCGGUGCCAGCAGCAGAAUACAGAACGGGCCUCCUGUGCCGGCAGCCAACACAGCACUGGCAAAUCAGGGAGCUGUCAGAAACAGCUGUCCAUUAACGGAGUUUGUGGAAACAACCAGGAGCUGUUUGAAAAUGCUAGGUGGUAGAAUUUAAUUGGAGUAGCAACUGUUCAAAAUUAAGAUUAAAAGGACCAGUCAGUCAAUGUGGAUUUCGUGACACCUUAAAAAUAACGUUUCAGGUUUGAUUAAUGCUGCAUGAAGUUUGCACAUUUCUCUCCUUUGCUGAUAGGGCCUGCGUGCUGAUAGUUGAUUCAGUGAAUGUAUCUAGCAGUGAUAGCUCAUGGGCUCCAAAGGUCAGAUAUCUUAUUCUCUAUGCUGAAGCCCUUGUUGCUUUAAGGAAACAGGAUUUUAAUAGGAAUCACAUGCAGAUCGACUACAGGGAGCCAAGCGGUAGUGGAAGAAGCAAAGUUGGCGGUUUUGGAGACGGACGUCUAUUUAUCCACAGUGGGACAAAAAUGAAGGUUAUUGAAAAGAAUCAUGCUUGGUGGAAGAAGUAAUUACAUUUUUUUUUCAAAUCUCAGAGGAAUAAUGCUUUUAUAUUUCCUGCGAUGACCCAAUUUGCACUACAAUAUGCUCCCUUAAAUCUUCCGCGAUGUGUUCUCUGUGUGGAGCCCCAAAACCAAUACUGUAACUUCGGGAGGUUCUGUUUCAACAAAGACAUCUUGAGCUCACUGUGAAAGAAGAAAUCAUAAGGAUUAGAGAAAGGAGCUUUGCAAAGUGAUUUAAACAGAAGAGAGGACCACCCCGCCAACAAAAUGUCCAGGUCCUAUUCCAUGGAACCUAUGAACAGGUUGCCCCACAUUGCAAAAGGGACUUCACAGAUGUCGAAGAGCUACAGAAGAUGCGAUAAUGGAAGCGGAAUCAAAGACAGAUUUGAAGAUGCUGCCGUCUUUGGAGAGAAUGGCCAGGAGGCAAGGAACACAAGCAGCCCCUAGAAGUUGGAAAAGAUUCUCCUUAUUUACUCCUGGGUUGAAAGAACAUGAAAGUUACUGCAAAAGCAUUUCAAACGUCAUCAUGAUAGAGGGAAUCAAACAAUUUAAUUAAGAGUGAAACAUCAAUGUAAAAUGCUGACGAUUUCAUCCUUGAGGUGCUGAUGGUUCAUAUUAGUAUGGAAAGAAUGCAGAAACAGGAGUGAUAAGGGGGAACUGAGGACUAAAUUUUUCUAAAGGUCUUCCUAAGGGUCCUGGAAGAAGUCACGUUUAUAAGCCAGAACUUACAUAUCUUUCUGCUGUCCCAAAAUUUUUAAACAAAACUACUCUUCCUUAAUCAACUGCAAAUCAGAAAAUCUUGGAAUCUACUUAUGACCUGUAAGCCUCUGCUUCAAGAUACCCCACCCGUUUAGACCAAAGCAAUGACUAACCUCCAUGUAUUGAGGUAUGAUUUUGCCUGUAACUUCUGCUUUCUUGAAAGUUACCCAUACCUUUAAAGACCCUUGCUUGCAAGCCACUGAGAAGAUGGGUCUAAAGUGUGCAUUGCCCCAUUCUCCUUGCCUGGUUCCCUGCAAAUAAAUGCCCUCCUUUCUGCAGUGGCAAACCUCAGUGUGGAUAUUUGGUUUUACCCCACUGGAUGAGUGGAUCCACUUUGGUUUGGUAACAAAACCUAUGGGGGAAUAUAAAAAGCUCUAACGUACACAUUAUUGGUGUCCCAGAAAACAAAAAUAAACCAUUAAGUAGGAAAAAGUAUUUGCGGAAGUGAUGACCAAAAAUUUCUCAAAGUCAUAGUUUUCAUAAGCUCAAUGAUGCUCAUAUAGGGUACAUACAAAUAAUACCACAUCUUUUCUCGUAAGCGUUAGACUGCUGAAAACCAAAGGAAAAGACAAACUCCUAAAGCUGGCUGAGAAAAAUGUCAUCAUGUUUAGAAAAAAAGACAAAUUGUCCUUGGCUCUCUAUUAGAAAAAUUGGAGUCCAGAAAAUCAUGGAAUACUGUCUUAAAAGUUCUAGAAGAAAAAAAAAUAUGUACACACACAUAUAUAUUUAUAUACAUAUAUAUAUAUCAACCCAGAAAUCUACAGGCAGUGAAAAUAUUUUUUAAGAGUAAAAGCAAAAUUAAUAUACUUCCAAAUCAAAGAAGAUUAAGAGAUUAGUCACAAGCAGAAUUAUGCUAUAAAAAAAGUAAAGCUCUUCAGGCAGAAAGGAAAUUAUGCCAGAUAGAAAACUGCAUAUUUCGAGUUGAAUAAAAAAGAAGUCACUGGAAAUGUAUAAAUGGAAAUGGUAAAUACACAAGAUGCAGGGAAUCAAUGAAGAUUUUUGAGUAUACGUCUGAAUUAUUCUGUGAGCUUGUUAUUCAUUUAUUAAUCUGUGAAAUGUCCCAAGAAAAUAUAAAGAACAUUUCAAAGAUAUAUAUUAUAUAGCUAUGAUAUUGUAAAAUAUAUAUUUGGCCUUUUACCCUGUUUCUGGCAAUA